GACGAACGCUGGCGGCGUGCUUAACACAUGCAAGUCGAACGGAAAGGCCCUGCUUUUGUUGGGUGCUCGAGUGGCGAACGGGUGAGUAACACGUGAGUAACCUGCCCUUGUCUUUGGGAUAACUUCAGGAAACUGGGGCUAAUACCGGAUAGGAGCUCCUGCUGCAUGGUGGGGGUUGGAAAGUUUCGGCGGUUGGGGAUGGACUCGCGGCUUAUCAGCUUGUUGGUGGGGUAGUGGCUGACCAAGGGUUUGACGGGUAGCCGGCCUGAGAGGGUGACCGGCCACAUUGGGACUGAGAUACGGCCCAGACUCCUACGGGAGGCAGCAGUGGGGAAUAUUGCACAAUGAGCGGAAGCGUGAUGCAGCAACGCCGCGUGCGGGAUGACGGCCUUCGGGUUGUAAACCGCUUUCGCAUGUGACGAAGCGUGAGUGACGGUAAUGGGUAAAGAAGCACCGGCUAACUACGUG
RNAcentral lists this ribosomal RNA (468 nucleotides) under uncultured bacterium. RNAcentral's name for it is "partial 16S ribosomal RNA". It matches the Rfam family "Bacterial small subunit ribosomal RNA", at positions 28 to 507 of the family's 1533-position model. The record is from RNAcentral.